Meriones unguiculatus (Mongolian gerbil) is the source of this 2223-nucleotide long non-coding RNA. RefSeq lists it as uncharacterized. The record is from RefSeq and is a predicted model, not a curated record. The transcript has 5 exons. NCBI's taxonomy places the organism in Eukaryota, Metazoa, Chordata, Mammalia, Rodentia, Muridae.
UGAGGCAGCUACUUUGUACUUGAUGGGGUUGGGGUGGGGCGUGGAACAGAGGUCCCUACACCUUCACAGCAGACUGCUUGCUGACUCCCUUCCAAAGAUGUAGUCCUCUUCCAGGAGAGAGGACGCUAACUUUAGCACAGACACAGGCAAAGGCUGUCCCGGCCAGGCCUUGCCGCCAUGGAGAGAGUUUCCUCCUCUUCAGUUUCCCAGAGGAGAUCGCACCAAUCAGAGUCGAGGAACAUUCUAAACAGCAUCUGACCAGAACUCCCCAAGGUCAUCAAGGGUAAAGAAAGGCUGAGGAAGUUCUGCAGCCGAAAGGAGCCCAGGAGCCAUGAUGGAUAUAGAACUCUUGGCUACCUCUCCAGCACCAUGCCUGCCUGCAUGCUGCCAUGCUUCCCUUCAUGUCGAUAGUGGACUAACCUUUUAACGGCUCAGUCUCCUCACCCCUGCCUCCCUCUGCUGAUAUCUGUUCAUCUGCCUAUGGGAGGUCAAGUCAAUCAAGCUGCCGAGCACUCUCUGAGCUGUGCCUGGUGGGCAUUUUGAGGAGUGACACUUCCAGGUGUUGCUUCCUGGCAUCGGACUCCACGUGCUUUCACAGAGCAUGGCUACCAGAGCUUGAGCAAGGCCUCUGUGCAAGAUGAAGCCUUCUACCUACAUCACCUGGUUUGUCCUGUGCCACACUUCCCUGCUAAAGUGAAAGCUCAUGCCCAGCCCACCUUACAGGCACAGAAUGACUAGACCUUUGUCCUGCUGGCACUUGGAUAUUGAACUCCAGUGAGCUAAUGUCACUGUCCUUCAAGCCCAGACAGGUGCUGCUCUCUCCUUCUAUGGACUAGGAAAUUCACGCCUUUUAAAAUCAAAGCAAAAGAAAAAAAGACAGCCAUCUCUCCAGGUGGGCCCUGUUGCAGAGCACAUGAGGGAUCUGAGAGGAACAGGCUAACCUGGGACUUUUAAGGCUGAAGGUCUUAGAAUGGUAAGUCUAAGGUGGGGAAGCUCAGGAUGGGAGAGGGAGGGCCACCAGGCCUGGGUACCCAGGGCUGACAUUUGCUGGGUUAUCUAAUCUGGUGUUCUUCCUGCCUCACUCACCAUGAUCUUCAGAACUCUGCACCCCCCCCAAGUGCCACACAAAGGGGACACCCCUAUCCAGCAGCCAGGGACAGAGGGAUUGUGUUGACUGUGAUGACCUUGAAGGAUGAACGGAUAGAAGAGAGGAGAAACCACAGGUCCAGAGGCUUAGGUGCAGAGGAGAAUCCUGGAGGUAGAAACCUAGGAAGAAAUAAAGGAAAAAUACAAACAGAGAAAGGGUAGGAGGAUGUGAAGAAGUGGUGACCCCUCGCUUGCUGUGGUUGCCAGGCUCCAAGAUUGGCCCUGGUGAUAGAUACAACAUCUUAUAUAUCAGCCUGGCUGGGUCAAAGUACCCAGAUACUUCAGUAAAUACAGUUCCAGAUGUUUUUUGUGGGAAUGGUUCUGGUCCGUUUUUGGCAGGGGAAGGAUGAGGUUAACAUGUACAUCGGUGAAUGUUGAGUAAAGCAGGUUACCUUUCAUUGUGUGUGCUCACGGGCCGCUAAUCAGUGGAAGACCUUAGUAGGAAAAGGUGGACCUCCUCUGAGCAAGGAGAAAAGAUUGGGGCAGAUCACUGGACUGCCUUUCCUGCAAAGUUUGGUGAUAGCUCUUCUCCCUCCUCUUUUCUUUCUCUCAUUCUAUCUCUCUUUCCUUCCUUCUCUCCCUCUCUCCAUCACUCUUUCCUUUCUUCCCUCCUUCUUUCUCUCUCCCUUCCCAGGCUCCCUCUUUCACACUCCCCUUACUUCUCCUUUGUCUUGCUUUCUGAUGUGUGCCCCAUCAGUCUGGGCAGGAUAGGAUAGGUUUUGUCCCCACUGAUUCUAUCUCUCUGAAGAACCUUGACUGAUAAGCCUUCAGUCAUCCCUCCAUGGGUUCCCAUGUCACUGUUCAUGUCAAAGGGUAUAUAUGGCUUUUCAGAAAUUCAAAGCCUGAUUAGGCUACAGAGUGAGUCCAAUGCCAUCCUGGGCAAUUUAUGACACCCUGUCUCAAAAUAACAUGCAAUAAGGAGAGCUGUGGCUAUAACUCAGUCUUGGAGCACUUGCCUGGAAUGCAUGAAGCCCUAGGCUCAAUACCUAGUAGCAAUGUACUGUUCCCUCUCCUCUGGCAUAUGUGCUAGUCCUACAAUCGCUUUGGCCAGUGGCAUAUGGCAGAUAUGGCAUCCUG